UUUACUAUAAUUUUGUACUAGAGAUAGUAUAAAGUUGAGUCACUUAUUUUAGGACGGAGGGAGUACAAAAUAAAAAGUACGUAUAUAGUAUGAAAUACAGUAUAAUUUAUGAUAGAAUCUAAUGAAACUAAUUUGGUAUUGUAAAUUUGAUAUAUCUUUUUGUAGACUCGGUCAAACUUAAAGAUGUUUGACUUAGAGCAAAAAGCUAGAACUUCAAAUAAUUUGGGACAGAGGGAGUACUUGUGAGGCAUUAAUAUCUGUAUUUUUUGCUUGUUAUCUUUCGAGAAAACUGAUAUUUUUGUUAUUGAUCUGCAUUUGGCAGCCUCGUAUAAUACUAAUGUUGGUUUCAUGAAAUAAUCAAAGUUUCAUUUGUGACAUGUCUUGCUGACAAAUUCUGAUUUAGUUUUCUGACAUUUUUUCGAGAAAACGCAAAGAGCCUUGCGUUUCUUUGUAUUGAAAAGAAAGGGGGGGGGACAGAGUGAUCUCUUUUGUUGUUAAUUCAUGAUGACACAUGCAUCUGGGCAUCUUAUUAUGCUGCAUUACCACAUGAUUUAAUAGCACAGAUCAUUCAGCUUAAAUCUGUACAUAAUGACCACUACAAUUGUUAUUACCUGAUGCAUCAAAAAGUAUAUUGGCUGGUAUCGCUUAUAUGGUUGAAUAUUACAGCUAUUGACUUCCUGUGUGACAUCUCAUGUAAAAGAGAAAAUCACAUCUAAAUAAUGUACCAUAUAUGUUCACUCUGCAUAUUCUAGUACUUUUGGACUCAUGAGAUACUUGUCAUGGAUGGUUGUGGAUUUGUGGCCAUGCGUUCUAGACUUUCUAGAUGACAAUAUCAGUGUUAGCAUGAAGCCCGUAUAUUGGAGUCCAAUAAAAUCAUGUUACAUCAUCUAUCAACCAUUCAACUUUGAGGUAAUGAAGGAUGCUCAAUGUGGAACGAGUUUUGCUUUGAUUACAGAACACAUUUCUCAUGUCACACAAUUAACACAGUUGAUGCUGACAAGUUUCACCAUCUUUAUUAUGAUUUUUUAUUGAAUAUAAAAUUUAGAUAUAGUGCAUUGUUCCGUUAAGAAAGCUGUAUUGGUCAUUAACUCAUUAUGGUUUAACUGAUGCUGAGCAUUUACCCAUGAUACCUUGCAUCGGGAAACUGAUUCAGUUCUUGUGCUAAUAAUUAAUGAGGUAAAGUUCUCGCUAACAUCAUCACCUUUGGGAUUUUAGCCGAUAAAGUAAAGUGCUCUAUUCAAAGGACAUGAACAGGACAACCAACACUGAUCACUUGAGGCAUGAAGUUGUCUAUUCUUUUCUGUACUGAAAAGGGAAUGUGGUGCUUUCUUAACAUGGUUACAUUGCUGAUGCACCUCCUGCUUCCUGUCCUACAUGAUUAAGAGUUUCUUUUGUGUAUAAUCUUUGUGGUACAAUAUUGCAAGGACAAUUUCUGCAGCCAUGUGGGAGCCUUGAGGAAUCUUUUGUCACGCAGUGGGUUCUGUACAUCCUUCAGAGUUCCCCUUUCAUUAGGGGGUACCACAAGAAAGCUAUUCUCUUAUCUUAAAAAAAAAUCAUGGAUUAGCAUAAAAUAAUGGCAAAGGAACGAUGAUAUGGUCUGAUAUAUACAUAUGGAAUUGUACAGAUCUGAUGUCUAGUGGAGGUUGAGCUCGUACCCAAACCUUCUCUACUUAUGCUUUUUAUACAUGCAUUUCCAUUGCAGACAGAACAGUAUGAUGUUCGUUUUACUUCCCAUAUAUACAUGUAUAGAGCUGAAAAAAUUUGAUGUCUGAGUAGAGGUUAAACUAGCUUGAGAUGCUAAGAGCUGGCUAGCUAGAGAUGCAUACCUUUUAUGCUUUGCAUACUUAUUCAUGUAUUUCCGUGAUGGAAGUUGACAGAAAUGCAGGCAUUGGAGUUUUUCUCAACAAUGCUUGAGGGCCAAACACCAGAAGAAGAGAACUAGGUGUAGCCAAGGACAGCUUGCCGGCUAAUUCUUAAGGCUCUACGAACUCCCAACACCAGAAGCCGGCAAGUCAUCCUUGGCUGCAUCCCGUUCUCUGCCCCUUAGCGUAUGGCAACCCAGCAGAAGCCUCCGCAGUGUAUGUUCUAAUACUAAGCUCUACAGCCAGUACUCAAACGCAAGAGGGGAGUAUAUAUAUAGAUGCAUCAAAUCAAUACCUAGCAAGCAUCCAAAGGUUAGUGAUUCAGAAGAUUAUAGUCCAUCCCAAGACAUCAUAGCAAUUCCACUCCCGGUGUUUGUCGUGGCCAACAUCUAACCUACACCAGGGACAUUGUGUCCUGGCCGAAGCAAUCCUGCAAGCUAGACCCACAUCCACCAGAAAGAAUCAUUUGUGCCGUGGCGGGGACCUACAAAAUCUAUGGAGGCAUGGUGGCGAUACUGUUGUCGUCGGUGCCUCGGUGGCCGUUGCUCUUGUGCCAUUAUUCUUUUUCCAUAUCCGGCUUGAGAACCCGCUGGUGGUUCGUUUGGAGCAUCCGGGGAUUGGUUAUUUUGGCGGCGUCCUCUACUUGAUGGGGUCCCCCUCCCCCCAUGAUUUGAUGCCCAGCGUAUCUCAAUUGGAUUGCGUGGUCUCUCUCUCCUAGGCUCUCUUCCCACCCCCUAAUUCGAUUGGUGAGCAAUCUAGUCGUAGGAUAAGUGGUCCUAGUGACACGAUAUGGAUCUUUUAGGCUGGUUGGCUGGUUGUAAUGGAUAGUAUCAUAUACUAGUAUCAUGUAUCAUGUAUAUGAUACUAGUAUAUGAUACCACAUCCGUAAUGCAUAGUAUCAUGUACUAGUAUCAUAGAAAGGUUCAUUUAUUACCAUGGAUGACACAUAUUAACACAACAUUUAAUAUGAUACGGUAUCAUAAUAUGAUACUCAAUUAUCUUUUUCUUCAUUUAAUUCUAUGUCACCUCAUCAAAUAUGUCUAGGUGGCAUGCAUGAUACUACUUAUGAUACUCCCAUUACAACCAGCCUUAGUGCAAAUGUCUCCCACACAAUUUCAGAGGUAGCACCUGGUUUCCAAAAUCAAGCAGUUCCUCAUUGGCUCCCAAAGUUUGACGACCUGUCCUAUAUGGUUUCUUAGAACAUCAACGCCUCGAACAACCUCUCAUACGUUCGUGAACGCGUGCGGACAAUAACCGAGCAAGAAAGAAAAAAAACGAUUAUACCAGGUCCCACAUAUUAUUUCUAAAUGUCCGGAUUGUCCGCGGAUCCUCAUAUUAAAGACAAAUAUGAGGAGGAUAUAAGGACUCGCGGACGCGUUCAGACGCGCUUAGUCAGUCUGCCUCUGGGACUUGACCCCACCCUGGAUCACCUUUUUUUUCUUUAUUCAUUUUUCUCUCUAUCUUCCUUUUCAUCAAUCACUUGCAAAUGAUCAGACAUAUGAGAAAAUAAAAUAAAAUAUAUGGCUACGCAGACGAACAAAUAGAGGACACGUUCGGUCACUGACCACACACUCUCACAGACUAUUAAGGAAUCAUAUUUGCUAUGCCUUGAUGUAGAUGCUCUUAUUAACGCUAAUCCUAGAUUGAUUAUCUUGCGGGAGAGCCCACGGUUAGCAUUCUGGUAACUAUCAGGUUGAGUGAGGUUGUCUCGGGCUGAGACCAUUUUAUAGCUGCUAACUUGCUAUGCCAUUGAGUUAUUGAUUUGGCUACUUCAAAGACUAAUCUAGUUACUUCUUCCAAGUCGAUGCAGAAAGUUAGGCGGCAGAGACUCGCCCUGGCAAAAACCAAAAUCAGUUUCUGAAUUAAUUGUUUAUUUUGUUCAUUGCCCACAAGGCAUCACCUACUGCUAAAUAAACUACGAAAAUCCUGACUCUGUCAUUUUCGCAGGGCUCUGACCUCUCUAAUUUUACAUUGGACAACAUGCUAGGUUCGUGCAGGGAUCAAGCACCUACGCACUGGGGAACACAAAGCUAGUUGAUGUCCACACGCACUUGUGAGUGGCUCUGGUAUUUUGACCUGAAAAAGUCGCUCAACUAUGAGAAUGAACUUUCUAUUGGAAUAAUCAUAAUUGAAAAAUGUGUACAUAAAUAUAUAUUCUUGGGGGAAAGAUUUAGGUCGACAUACUACUUUUUGGAGAAAAAGAUUUGUUUUGCCAUGUGCAAGGCAGAAAGUCAAGAUAUGCUACAACUGGCUACCAAAAUUUUUGGGGUUCAUCGUCCUGAAUAUAUAUUACGCACCAGUCAAUUCCAGUUGGAACUAUGCUUGUGAGAUCCAACAUCUUAAAUUCGCACUAGCAAAUCUUUUAUAUCAGAAGCAUCAUAGUAUAAAUCAUAUAAAAUAUCAACAUGAUAAGACUGAAAAGACAACGGAACACUAACCUUGCAAAAAAGAAAACACUAGUAAAGAAAAAAAUUACAAUCGAAA
Hordeum vulgare subsp. vulgare (domesticated barley) is the source of this 4346-nucleotide long non-coding RNA. RefSeq lists it as uncharacterized. The record is from RefSeq and is a predicted model, not a curated record. NCBI's taxonomy places the organism in Eukaryota, Viridiplantae, Streptophyta, Magnoliopsida, Poales, Poaceae. The transcript has 2 exons.